Molecule: ribosomal RNA, 497 nt
Filed under: uncultured bacterium
Lineage: Bacteria
Description: partial 16S ribosomal RNA
Rfam family: Bacterial small subunit ribosomal RNA
Source: RNAcentral
GAUGAACGCUGGCGGCGUGCCUAAUACAUGCAGGUCGAGCGAACGGACGAGAAGCUUGCUUCUCUGAUGUUAGCGGCGGACGGGUGAGUAACACGUGGAUAACCUACCUAUAAGACUGGGAUAACUUCGGGAAACCGGAGCUAAUACCGGAUGAUAUUUUGAACCGCAUGGUUCAAAAGUGAAAGACGGUCUUGCUGUCACUUAUAGAUGGAUCCGCGCUGCAUUAGCUAGUUGGUAAGGUAACGGCUUACCAAGGCAACGAUGCAUAGCCGACCUGAGAGGGUGAUCGGCCACACUGGAACUGGGACACGGUCCAGACUCCUACGGGAGGCAGCAGUAGGGAAUCUUCCGCAAUGGGCGAAAGCCUGACGGAGCAACGCCGCGUGAGUGAUGAAGGUCUUCGGAUCGUAAAACUCUGUUAUUAGGGAAGAACAUAUGUGUAAGUAACUGUGCACAUCUUGACGGUACCUAAUCAGAAAGCCACGGCUAACUACGUG